RNAcentral lists this ribosomal RNA (524 nucleotides) under uncultured bacterium. RNAcentral's name for it is "bacterial SSU rRNA". It matches the Rfam family "Bacterial small subunit ribosomal RNA", at positions 355 to 896 of the family's 1533-position model. The record is from RNAcentral.
UGGGGAAUAUUGGACAAUGGACCAAGAGUCUGAUCCAGCAAUUCUGUGUGCACGAUGAAGUUUUUCGGAAUGUAAAGUGCUUUCAGUUGGGAAGAAAGAAAUGACGGUACCAACAGAAGAAGUGACGGCUAAAUACGUGCCAGCAGCCGCGGUAAUACGUAUGUCACGAGCGUUAUCCGGAUUUAUUGGGCGUAAAGCGCGUCUAGGUGGUUAUGUAAGUCUGAUGUGAAAAUGCAGGGCUCAACUCUGUAUUGCGUUGGAAACUGUAUAACUAGAGUACUGGAGAGGUAAGCGGAACUACAAGUGUAGAGGUGAAAUUCGUAGAUAUUUGUAGGAAUGCCGAUGGGGAAGCCAGCCUACUGGACAGAUACUGACGCUGAAGCGCGAAAGCGUGGGUAGCAAACAGGAUUAGAUACCCUGGUAGUCCACGCCGUAAACGAUGAUUACUAGGUGUUGGGGGUCGAACCUCAGCGCCCAAGCAAACGCGAUAAGUAAUCCGCCUGGGGAGUACGUACGCAAGUAUG